This 684-nucleotide ribosomal RNA is filed under the name Triticum aestivum (bread wheat). Its description in RNAcentral is "partial small subunit ribosomal RNA". Lineage: Eukaryota; Viridiplantae; Streptophyta; Magnoliopsida; Poales; Poaceae. The record is from RNAcentral.
AUGAGCACUGGCAAAGGGCUCAUGCGCAUAGUGCUCAAUCAAAGUGAAGCGAUGAAGACGGUGCUCGGACGGCCGUGCGUCUUGGAGCCAUCCACUGAGUUUGAUCAGGUCGAAGCACAAGGCCACAAGCGCUACAUCACCCCUCUGGACGCACAAUCGUUUUCUACGCGCCUUUUCUCCAACCGUGAGAUUUGGUUCGGCCCGAACGGGGACUGGCUGGCCUAUCUGCAAGAGAAUGGAGGCAUCCAAUUGCACAACGUAUACACAGGAGAUACGGUCCAGGCGCCACCUUUUGAAGCCAUAGGCCUUGUCAACGCGGGGACACAUGUCAUACGGAAUUUCAACUACGAUCUCACAAUGGCUACAUUGAAGAAGAUAGCCAUUGCGCAUCCACCCGCCAGGUGGGACGGCUUCAAUUGCUAUUUUCUCAUUGCCGUAUUUGACAACAUGAUUGCCAUCACCGGCUCUGAGGCUAGCUCCAACGCAAAAUCCUGGUAUAUGCUGGCCCUACCACAUCUUUCUUCUCGUUGCUACCAAGAUGCUGUCAACCAUGCCGGGUGGAUCUUCGCGUUUACAGACGAUGGAACUUGUUCCAUGUGGGAUCCUCGCGCAGGCGGUUCCAUGCAGCCUCCUCGCGAAAUUCAAUCACCACAUCUCAACCAGGACAUACCCUACCAGAAUUAA